This 1288-nucleotide ribosomal RNA is filed under the name metagenome. Its description in RNAcentral is "bacterial LSU rRNA". It matches the Rfam family "Bacterial large subunit ribosomal RNA", at positions 1614 to 2925 of the family's 2925-position model. The record is from RNAcentral.
AAAGCUGCGUGUAUAUCUAAGGUGCCCGUACCGCAAACCGACACAGGUAGGUAGGAAGAAGAUUCUAAGGCCAACGGGAGAAGGGUUGUUAAGGAACUCGGCAAGUUGACCCCGUAACUUCGGAAUAAGGGGUGCUCAUGAAAGUGAGCCGCAGAGAAUAGGCCCAGGCAACUGUUUACCAAAAACACAGGUUUGUGCUAAAUCGAAAGAUGACGUAUACGAGCUGACGCCUGCCCGGUGCUGGAAGGUUAAAAGGAGAUGUGCAAGCAUUGAAUUGAAGCCCCAGUGAACGGCCCCGUAACUAUAACGGUCCUAAGGUAGCGAAAUUCCUUGUCAGGUAAGUUCUGACCCGCAUGAAAGGCGUAAUGAUCUGGGCACUGUCUCAACAGCCCGCCCGGCGAAAUUGUAGUAUCGGUGAAGAUGCCGGUUACCCGCGACAAGACGGAAAGACCCCAUGGAGCUUUACUGUAGCCUAAUAUUGGGUUUCGGUGUUGCAUGCACAGGAUAGAUGGGACGCUAGGAAGUGAGUGCUUUGGCAUUCAUGGAGCGGCCGUUGGGAUACCAUCCUUGCGACAUUGGAAUUCUAACCUGCGCCUUUGAAUCAAGGCGGGGGACAUUGUUAGGUGGGCAGUUUGACUGGGGCGGUCGCCUCCUAAAGAGUAGCGGAGGCGUUCAAAGGUUGGCUCGUCCUGGACGGAAACCAGGAGAGAGAGUGCAAACGCAAAAGCCAGCCUGACUGCGAGACUGACGGGUCGAGCAGAGACGAAAGUCGGAGUUAGUGAUCCGGUGGUAUGUGAGUGGAAAUGCCAUCGCUCAACGGAUAAAAGUUACCCUGGGAUAACAGGCUGAUCUCCCCCAAGAGUCCACAUCGACGGGGAGGUUUGGCACCUCGAUGUCGGCUCAUCGCAUCCUGGGGCUGUAUUCGGUCCCAAGGGUUUGGCUGUUCGCCAAUUAAAGCGGUACGCGAGCUGGGUUCGGAACGUCGUGAGACAGUUCGGUCCCUAUCUGUCGUGGGCGCAGGAUAUUUGAAAGGCGCUGUCCCUAGUACGAGAGGACCGGGAUGGACGAACCUCUGGUGCACCAGUUGUCACGCCAGUGGCACAGCUGGGCAGCUAUGUUCGGAUCGGAUAAACGCUGAAAGCAUCUAAGCGUGAAGCCGGCCUUAAGAUAAGAUAUCCCACUGAGAUAAUCAGGUAAGACCCCUUGAAGACUACAAGGUUGAUAGGCACAAUGUGUAAGUGGCGUGAGUCAUUGAGCAAGCGUGUACUAAUAGGUCGAGGGCUUGACC